RNAcentral lists this long non-coding RNA (790 nucleotides) under Toxoplasma gondii VEG. The record is from RNAcentral. Lineage: Eukaryota; Apicomplexa; Conoidasida; Eucoccidiorida; Sarcocystidae.
CCUUUCUUCAUAGUGUUGUUUGGGAAGUUUAACAUGCAGCACGCGGCCGCAAACUCCUGCAUUCAAGCAGAAGGGACCCCACGUCGAUGGUUGUAUGCAGCCCUCCUCCUUGCAGCGCAUGCACUCGGUAUCGACUUGUUUUAAACAGUCAAAACGAAACCACGUACAGCUGCAAAUGUCCAUAGCAACGUCCUGUCGAUAGUCAGGUCCUCGGCUGGUGCCUUCUACCCACCAGAACUACACAGACCCGGCUGCGAAUUCAUGCCUUCGGUGAAAACUCCCUGACACGAGGCAGCAUUCUUUUCUGAGUCGAUAGUAGGGGUGGGAUAAUUUGCGUCAAAAAGCAAUGCCGCUUUCACAGCUGGUCGACCUUGUCGAUAGCAGCUUACUAAGCAAUCUCUCCAAGUUGACACCGGUGGAAAUUACCAACGCAGAAGAAACGUAGGCCGAUGACAAAGAUCUGCACGCCCCACGUCCAGUCCGACAGAAUACUGGAGGGCAUCUCCGAGCUGAAUUCGGUGAAAACCAGAAUCAGUUCUCCGGAGGCUGAGAAAACAGAACGUCGGGAGAGUGCAUGCGUUCGAGUUUUCGCUGAUACCAGGAAAUCAGGCACAACAACAACUUCGGUGCUUCCGGCUGUUCCUCGAAGAAGUCAUGCCUACUUGAGUCUGGUAGGGGUUUUCUCGAGCGCAUCCGCGGUUUAGAUGCGCAUCAUUAGUAACCAAGUGACACAAAACUCAGUAUUAGUCAUAUCUCUCGUUAUAUGCCUUUGACUCCUGAGCAAACGCGU